Molecule: ribosomal RNA, 460 nt
Filed under: uncultured bacterium
Lineage: Bacteria
Description: partial 16S ribosomal RNA
Rfam family: Bacterial small subunit ribosomal RNA
Source: RNAcentral
CCUACGGGUGGCAGCAGUGAGGAAUAUUGGUCAAUGGGCGGGAGUCUGAACCAGCCAAGUCGCGUGAGGGAAGACGGUCCUAUGGAUUGUAAACCUCUUUAGGCGGGGAGCAAUGCCGGGCACGCGUGCCCGGAGGGAGAGUACCCGCAGAAUAAGCAUCGGCUAACUCCGUGCCAGCAGCCGCGGUAAUACGGAGGAUGCGAGCGUUAUCCGGAUUUAGUGGGUUUAAAGGGUGCGUAGGCGGAUUUUUAAGUCAGCGGUAAAAUGUCCGGGCUCAACCCGGGCCGGCCGUUGAAACUGGGGAGCUUGAGUGGGCGAGAAGUAUGCGGAAUGCGUGGUGUAGCGGUGAAAUGCAUAGAUAUCACGCAGAACUCCGAUUGCGAAGGCAGCAUACCGGCGCCCGACUGACGCUGAGGCACGAAAGCGUGGGGAUCGAACAGGAUUAGAUACCCGGGUAGUC